UACGGAGGGUGCAAGCGUUAAUCGGAAUUACUGGGCGUAAAGCGCACGCAGGCGGUUGAUUAAGUCAGAUGUGAAAUCCCCGAGCUUAACCUGGGAACUGCAUUGGUGACUGGCAGGCUAGAGUGUGGCAGAGGGAGGUAGAAUUCCACGUGUAGCAGUGAAAUGCGUAGAGAUGUGGAGGAAUACCGAUGGCGAAGGCAGCCUCCUGGGCCAACACUGACGCUCAUGCACGAAAGCGUGGGGAGCAAACAGG
Molecule: ribosomal RNA, 253 nt
Filed under: uncultured bacterium
Lineage: Bacteria
Description: partial 16S ribosomal RNA
Rfam family: Bacterial small subunit ribosomal RNA
Source: RNAcentral